This 520-nucleotide ribosomal RNA is filed under the name uncultured Glomus. RNAcentral's name for it is "SSU rRNA". It matches the Rfam family "Eukaryotic small subunit ribosomal RNA", at positions 569 to 1091 of the family's 1831-position model. The record is from RNAcentral. Lineage: Eukaryota; Fungi; Glomeromycota; Glomeromycetes; Glomerales; Glomeraceae.
AGCAGCCGCGGUAAUUCCAGCUCCAAUAGCGUAUAUUAAAGUUGUUGCAGUUAAAAAGCUCGUAGUUGAAUUUCGGGGUCAGUAGGUUGGUCAUGCCUUCGGUAUGUACUGGUCUCACUGAUUCCUCCCUCUUGAAGAACUGUAAUGUCAUUAAUUUGGUGUUGCGGGGAAACAGGACUGUUACUUUGAAAAAAUUAGAGUGUUUAAAGCAGGCUCACGCUUGAAUACAUUAGCAUGGAAUAAUGAAAUAGGACGUUCGAUCCUAUUUUGUUGGUUUCUAGGAUUGGCGUAAUGAUUAAUAGGGAUAGUUGGGGGCAUUAGUAUUCAAUUGUCAGAGGUGAAAUUCUUGGAUUUAUUGAAGACUAACUACUGCGAAAGCAUUUGCCAAGGAUGUUUUCAUUAAUCAAGAACGAAAGUUAGGGGAUCGAAGACGAUCAGAUACCGUCGUAGUCUUAACCAUAAACUAUGCCGACUAGGGAUCGGAUGAUGUUAAUUUUUAAUGACUCAUUCGGCGCCUUAA